CCUACGGGCGGCAGCAGUAGGGAAUAUUCCACAAUGAGCGAAAGCUUGAUGGAGCGACACAGCGUGCACGAUGAAGGUCUUCGGAUCGUAAAGCUCUGUCAUCAGGGAAGAACAUUUGCAAUACUAAACGAUUGCAGACUGACGGUACCUUCUCAGACAGCGCUGGCUAACUAGGUGCCAGCAGCCGCGGUAAUACAUAGGUCGCAAGCGUUAUCCGGAAUUACUGGGCGUAAAGCGUUCGUAGGCUGUUUGUUAAGUCCGGGGUUAAAUCCCGGGGCUCAACCCCGGCUCGCGUUGGAUACUAGCAAACUAGAGUGAGAUAGAGGUAAGCGGAAGUCCAGGUGAAGCAGUGAAAUGCGUAGAUAUAGGGAAGAACACCAGAGGCGAAGGCGGCUUACUGGGUCUAAACUGACGCUGAGGGACGAAAGCGUGGGGAGCAAACAGGAUUAGAUACCCGGGUAGUC
Molecule: ribosomal RNA, 464 nt
Filed under: uncultured bacterium
Lineage: Bacteria
Description: partial 16S ribosomal RNA
Rfam family: Bacterial small subunit ribosomal RNA
Source: RNAcentral